RNAcentral lists this ribosomal RNA (870 nucleotides) under uncultured candidate division WS6 bacterium. RNAcentral's name for it is "bacterial SSU rRNA". It matches the Rfam family "Bacterial small subunit ribosomal RNA", at positions 49 to 882 of the family's 1533-position model. The record is from RNAcentral.
UAAGGUAUGCAAGUCGAACGAUCCCUUUCUGAUUUCUAGUAACUUCGGUUGCUAGUUUUCUAUCUGGGAUAGUGGCAAACGGGUGAGUAACACGUAGAUAACUUGCCUCGAAGUCGGGAAUAGCUCGUCGAAAGACGGGGUAAUAUCCGAUGGUCUCUAACCACUUCGUGUGUUUUAGAGUAAAGCUUUUGUGCUUCGAGAGAGGUCUGCGUCCUAUCAGCUAGUUGGUAAGGUAAUGGCUUACCAAGGCUAAGACGGGUAGCUGGUGUGAGAGCACGGUCAGCCACCAUGGAACUGAGACACGGUCCAUACUCCUACGGGAGGCAGCAAUUAGGAAUCUUGCGCAAUGGGGGCAACCCUGACGCAGCGACACAGCGUGGAGGAUGAAGGUCUUCGGAUUGUAAACUCCUUUUAUAUGGGAAGAAUAGAUGACUGUACCAUAUGAAUAAGGACCUGCUAACUACGUGCCAGAAGCAUCGGUGAUGCGUAGGGUCCGAACGUUAUCCGGAUUUAUUGGGUGUAUAGAGAUGCGUAGGCGGUUUGAUAAGUCUUGAGUUAAAGACCUCGGCUCAACCGAGGAAAAGCUUUCGAUACUAUCAGACUUGAGGCAUAGAGGGGUGAACGGAAUUCCGAGUGGAGUGGUGAAAUACGUUGAUAUUCGGAGGAACAUCAGUGGCGAAGGCGGUUCACUGGCUAUUGCCUGACGCUCAGGCUCGAAAGCGUGGGUAGCAAAACGGAUUAGAUACCCGUGUAGUCCACGCUGUAAACUAUGGAUGCUAGGUGUUCGGUACAACUGUUUUUAAUCUUCGGAUUUUAAACGGGAGUGCUGAGUGCCGCAGCUAACGCGUUAAGCAUCCCACCUGGGAAGUA